UAGGGAAUCUUCGGCAAUGGACGAAAGUCUGACCGAGCAACGCCGCGUGAGUGAAGAAGGUUUUCGGAUCGUAAAACUCUGUUGUUAGAGAAGAACAAGGACGUUAGUAACUGAACGUCCCCUGACGGUAUCUAACCAGAAAGCUACGGCUAACUACGUGCCAGCAGCCGCGGUAAUACGUAGGUGGCAAGCGUUGUCCGGAUUUAUUGGGCGUAAAGCGAGCGCAGGCGGUUUCUUAAGUCUGAUGUGAAAGCCCCCGGCUCAACCGGGGAGGGUCAUUGGAAACUGGGAGACUUGAGUGCAGAAGAGGGGAGUGGAAUUCCAUGUGUAGCGGUGAAAUGCGUAGAUAUAUGGAGGAACACCAGUGGCGAAGGCGGCUCUCUGGUCUGUAACUGACGCUGCGGAUCGAAAGCGUGGGGAGCAAACAGG
This 429-nucleotide ribosomal RNA is filed under the name Gemmatimonadota bacterium. RNAcentral's name for it is "Gemmatimonadetes bacterium partial 16S ribosomal RNA". It matches the Rfam family "Bacterial small subunit ribosomal RNA", at positions 355 to 776 of the family's 1533-position model. The record is from RNAcentral. Lineage: Bacteria; Pseudomonadati; Gemmatimonadota.